This 446-nucleotide ribosomal RNA is filed under the name uncultured bacterium. RNAcentral describes it as "partial 16S ribosomal RNA". It matches the Rfam family "Bacterial small subunit ribosomal RNA", at positions 338 to 795 of the family's 1533-position model. The record is from RNAcentral.
CCUACGGGAGGCAGCAGUCGAGAAUCAUUCACAAUGGGGGAAACCCUGAUGGUGCGACGCCGCGUGGGGGAAUGAAGGUCUUCGGCUUGUAAACCCCUGUCAUGUGGGAGCAAACUAAAAAGAUAGUACCACAAGAGGAAGAUACGGCUAACUCUGUGCCAGCAGCCGCGGUACUACAGAGGUCUCAAGCGUUGUUAGGAAUCACUGGGCGUACAGCGUGCGUAUGCUGUUUCGUAAGUCGUGUGUGAAAGGCGCGGGCUCAAGCCGCGGAGGGCACAGGAAACUGAGGGACGAGAGUAAAGGAGGGGGAACCGGAAUGCUAGGGGUAGCAGGGAAAUGCGUAGAUAUAGAGAGGAACACUCGUGGCGAAGGCGGGUGCCUGGACAUUAACUGACGCUGAGGCACGAAGGCCAGGGGAGCGAAAGGGAUUAGAUACCCGAGUAGUC